UGAGUGUAGUCCAUGAGUUCAUACACAAAUAGACUCAACACUACCUAAGCAUGCUUUUAUCUUUCAUCUUUCAUAAUCAUAUUAUGAAUAUCCGAAUAUGUUAUGUGACACUCACUCCAUCUAGUCUUCUGUAACACUAUAAUAUUCUUCUGAUAUAUUCUUUUUGAUGAAUUCUUCUUUUGU
This is a long non-coding RNA of Octopus sinensis (East Asian common octopus), 183 nucleotides long. RefSeq lists it as uncharacterized. The transcript has 3 exons. The record is from RefSeq and is a predicted model, not a curated record. Lineage: Eukaryota; Metazoa; Mollusca; Cephalopoda; Octopoda; Octopodidae.